This 94-nucleotide small RNA is filed under the name Staphylococcus aureus. RNAcentral describes it as "HMPRFS0000_0408". Lineage: Bacteria; Bacillati; Bacillota; Bacilli; Caryophanales; Staphylococcaceae. The record is from RNAcentral.
AUUGACUUUCAAAUAUAAUGAAAAAUCCAGUAAUAACGUCUUUAACAAUGGUUUGAGCACCAAAACCUACUGCUAAACCUACGACACCAGCACU